RNAcentral lists this microRNA precursor (90 nucleotides) under Canis lupus familiaris (dog). RNAcentral's name for it is "mir-8799 microRNA precursor family". It matches the Rfam family "mir-8799 microRNA precursor family". Lineage: Eukaryota; Metazoa; Chordata; Mammalia; Carnivora; Canidae. The record is from Rfam by way of RNAcentral. RNAcentral also lists the same sequence under 1 other name.
GGGGAGUACCGCAUCUUGGGUUGUGACCCCAGCAUCCUGUGCUCCCAGGCUUGUGCUGUUGGCAUCACGCUUCCCACCAUGCAGCUCCCC